Molecule: ribosomal RNA, 450 nt
Filed under: Apseudopsis latreillii
Lineage: Eukaryota; Metazoa; Arthropoda; Malacostraca; Tanaidacea; Apseudidae
Description: bacterial SSU rRNA
Rfam family: Eukaryotic small subunit ribosomal RNA
Source: RNAcentral
CAAAGAUUAAGCCAUGCAUGUCUCAGUACUGGCUGCAACAAAAGCGAAACCGCGAAUGGCUCAUUAAAUCGGUCAUGGUCUACUGGAUCCCGAAAAAAGGUACUUGGAUACCUUUGGUAAUUCUAGAGCUAAUACAUGCAACUGAGCUCCGAACCACCCGCUCGGAUUUUUCCUUGCGACGUGGGGCAAGAGCGCUUUUAUUAGCCCCUGAAAUAAACCGACCGGACUUCGGUCCGAAAAAUGCAAAAAUGAACUCGGGUGAGACCGAAUAACUUAGCCGAGCGCUACGGUCAUCGAACCGGCGCCGGAUCCUACCGAGCGUCUGCCUUAUCAGCUCUCGAUUGUAGGCUACAUGCCUACAAUGGCUGUAACGGGUAACGGGGAAUCAGGGUUCGAUUCCGGAGAGGGAGCCUGAGAAACGGCUACCACAUCCAAGGAAGGCAGCAGGCA